RNAcentral lists this ribosomal RNA (441 nucleotides) under uncultured bacterium. Its description in RNAcentral is "partial 16S ribosomal RNA". It matches the Rfam family "Bacterial small subunit ribosomal RNA", at positions 338 to 795 of the family's 1533-position model. The record is from RNAcentral.
CCUACGGGAGGCUGCAGUCGGGAAUAUUGCGCAAUGGAGGAAACUCUGACGCAGUGACGCCGCGUAUAGGAAGAAGGUUUUCGGAUUGUAAACUAUUGUCGUUAGGGAAGAUAAAAGACUGUACCUAAGGAGGAAGCCCCGGCUAACUAUGUGCCAGCAGCCGCGGUAAUACAUAGGGGGCAAGCGUUAUCCGGAAUUAUUGGGUGUAAAGGGUGCGUAGACGGAAGAACAAGUUGGUUGUGAAAUCCCUCGGCUCAACUGAGGAACUGCAACCAAAACUAUUCUCCUUGAGUGUCGGAGAGGAAAGUGGAAUUCCUAGUGUAGCGGUGAAAUGCGUAGAUAUUAGGAGGAACACCAGUGGCGAAGGCGACUUUCUGGACGAUAACUGACGUUGAGGCACGAAAGUGUGGGGAGCAAACAGGAUUAGAUACCCCGGUAGUC